This 490-nucleotide ribosomal RNA is filed under the name uncultured Acidobacteriota bacterium. RNAcentral's name for it is "bacterial SSU rRNA". It matches the Rfam family "Bacterial small subunit ribosomal RNA", at positions 357 to 864 of the family's 1533-position model. Lineage: Bacteria; Pseudomonadati; Acidobacteriota. The record is from RNAcentral.
GUGGCUCUUGCUCAAUCGUGAGGAGACGUGGUGGAGCGACGCCGCGAGAGCGAUGGACCCCUUCGAGGUGUAAAGCUCUUUUGUCAGGUGCGGUUAAUGACUGUACGAGGAGAAGAAGCUGCGGCUAACUACGUGCACAGCAGCCGCUGUAAUGUGUAGGCAGCGAGCGUAAUAUGGGAGUUACUGGGUAUAAAGAGUGCACAGGCGGUUUUAAGACACAGGUGUGAAAUCUCCCGGGCUUAACCGGGAAAGUGCGUUUGAAACUGCAGAUCGAGAGUGGGGGAGAGGGGAGGGGAAUUCCGGGUGUAGCGGUGAAAUGUGUAGAUAUGGGGAAAAACACCGGGGGAGAAGACGGCCCCCUGGCCCCACACAGACGCUGACGCACGAAAGCGUGGGGAGCACACAGGAUUAGAUACCCUGGUAGUCCACCCCCUAAACGAUGCAAAAGGGUGUGGGAAGGUCAUUCUCAGUACCGAGCUAACGCGUAAGU